GCCUCUUGAUUUAAUCAUAAGAGGUCCAGCCUGCCCAGUGACAUUGUUCAACGGCCGCGGUAUCCUAACCGUGCGAAGGUAGCGUAAUCACUUGUCCUUUAAAUGAGGACUAGUAUGAAUGGCCCCACGAAAGCUAUACUGUCUCCUUUUUCUAAUCAGUUAAACUAAUCUCCCCGUGAAGAAGCGAGGAUAAACAUAUAAGACGAGAAGACCCUAUGGAGCUUUAAAUAACUGAAACAUUUGCAUCCCACUUUAAAUUUCCGAAAUCUACACUUAAUUCCACAUCUUGUUUCUAGUUUUAGGUUGGGGUGACCACGGAGAAAAACCAAACCUCCAUGCCGAAAGAAACAUCUCUAAACAAAAAACUACAAUUUUAUGUAUUAACACAUUAACCUUAAUUGACCCA
This 406-nucleotide ribosomal RNA is filed under the name Anomaloglossus stepheni (Stephen's rocket frog). Its description in RNAcentral is "LSU rRNA". It matches the Rfam family "Bacterial large subunit ribosomal RNA", at positions 1818 to 2422 of the family's 2925-position model. Lineage: Eukaryota; Metazoa; Chordata; Amphibia; Anura; Aromobatidae. The record is from RNAcentral.